Molecule: small RNA, 1209 nt
Filed under: Pan troglodytes (chimpanzee)
Lineage: Eukaryota; Metazoa; Chordata; Mammalia; Primates; Hominidae
Description: processed transcript
Source: RNAcentral
AUACAGUGCCUCCGGGUCGCGGUCAUUUUGAGCCCCUGUCUGGAUGACUUCUUGCGGCUGUUCUACCCCUCCCCCUCCCCGCGGUACCUUGCACUUUUCUCCCUCCCUGCCCCCUCUCGAGUCCACCCUCCGGGCCUUCUGCCCCUGAUCGCUUGGUUUUCCUUGCCGUCGCCUGCUGCUGUCGUCGGGAGACAUAGGGCCUGAUUACAUUCCAACAGAGGAAGAAAGGAGAGUCUUCGCAGAAUGCAAUGAUGAAAGCUUCUGGUUCAGAUCUGUGCCUUUGGCUGCAACAAGUAUGUUGAUUACUCAAGGAUUAAUUAGUAAAGGAAUACUUUCAAGUCAUCCCAAAUAUGGUUCCAUCCCUAAACUUAUACUUGCUUGUAUCAUGGGAUACUUUGCUGGAAAACUUUCUUAUGUGAAAACUUGCCAAGAGAAAUUCAAGAAACUUGAAAAUUCCCCGCUUGGAGAAGCUUUACGAUCAGGACAAGCACGACGAUCUUCACCACCUGGGCACUAUUAUCAAAAGUCAAAAUAUGACUCAAAUGUGAGUGGUCAAUCGUCUUUUGUGACAUCCCCAGCAGCAGACAACAUAGAAAUGCUUCCUCAUUAUGAGCCAAUUCCAUUCAGUUCUUCUAUGAAUGAAUCUGCUCCCACUGGUAUUACUGAUCAUAUUGUCCAAGGUAGAAACUUCUCUUGAAAUGAAUUUCAACAUUUUAUGGUCCAACGUAUGUAUAAACUUUAUUUGAUGACCUUUUCUGCUGGAUAUCACCUGUGUGUUCUACCAUCAAUCAUCAACCUAAACUCAGCAUGUUUGUUCAUUUGUUUCUUCAUUCAUUCAACUUUUCUUGAGGACCAGUAGGUGUCAAGGACUCUGCUAGACGUGGAAGAAGAUGAAUAACACUUGGUUCUUGUCCCUGAAAAACUUCCAGUCUGUUAGAAGAUAUAGAAAUACAAGGAUGAAUUACUAGUAUGUCCCAGUAAUUGAAAAUACUAAGGCAAGCUUAGUGGAAUAGUGAAGAAGAAAUGAUAAAUCGUGUCUCAGGAAGUAGAGCUCCAGGAAAGGUAUAAAAAGGUUACAUUUGAUAGGCUGGGUUUUAAAGGCGUUCAGCUUCCUUGUCUGUAAUACAAGAAAGAACUGUUGUCAAGUGAGAAAAUCCAUGUGAAAAUGCUUUGUGAAGUUUGUAAAUACUAGCUUUGAAGAUCACACAU